GCAAGGUUUGUCUAGAGGCAACAUCGUCAAUCGUGCAUACUCCUCCAAAGUAGGAGUCAACUCCUGGGUCCCAAAUCGGAAAACCUGCCUCUCCGAUACCCAGUGCUCUAGCAUGCCCUCUAUAAAUCUUGUGGGAACCUGAAACCUCAGUAAGGUCAUAGUAUGCUACAACGAAUCAUCUAUGAUCACCAUGUCUGAUGGUGAUAUACUAUCAUACCAUGAUCGCAUACCAGCUACCACCACAAAUGGUGGGGUAUGAUCGAU
This 264-nucleotide long non-coding RNA is filed under the name Panax ginseng (ginseng). RNAcentral describes it as "long non-coding RNA (PGIN_LNC019271)". The record is from RNAcentral. Lineage: Eukaryota; Viridiplantae; Streptophyta; Magnoliopsida; Apiales; Araliaceae.